UGGGGAAUAUUGCACAAUGGGCGCAAGCCUGAUGCAGCGACGCCGCGUGGGGGAUGACGGCCUUCGGGUUGUAAACUCCUUUCGCUAGGGACGAAGCUUUUUGUGACGGUACCUAGAUAAGAAGCACCGGCUAACUACGUGCCAGCAGCCGAGGUAAUACGUAGGGUGCGAGCGUUGUCCGGAAUUACUGGGCGUAAAGGGCUCGUAGGUGGUUUGUCGAGUCGUCUGUGAAAUUCCGGGGCUUAACUCCGGGCGUGCAGGCGAUACGAGUAUAACUUGAGGACUGGAGGGGUAACGGGAAUUCCUGGUGUAGCGGUGAAAUGCGACGCUAUCAGGAGACAAACCGAUGGCGAAGACAGGUUACUGGGCAGUUACUGACGCUGAGGAGAGAAAGCAUGGGUAGCGAACAGG
Molecule: ribosomal RNA, 411 nt
Filed under: Actinomycetes bacterium
Lineage: Bacteria; Bacillati; Actinomycetota; Actinomycetes
Description: Actinobacteria bacterium partial 16S ribosomal RNA
Rfam family: Bacterial small subunit ribosomal RNA
Source: RNAcentral